CCCUUAGAUGUUCUGGGCGGCCCGCGCACUACAAUGGCGCUUUCAGCGAGUUCCUAUGUUGAAUUUUCCUGGGUAUUCUUGGAAGCGGCGUCUUGACUUGGGAUAGAUCCUUGUAAUUGUUGGUUUUGAACGAGGAAUUCCUUGUAAUCGCGGUUGAUCAGCUCGCGUUGAAUACGUCCCUGCCCUUUGUACACACCGCCCGUCGCUCCUACCGAUUGAGUGGUCCGGUGAGGCUUUGGGAUCUGAGCGGAAAGAGCGUUUCGCUGUUUCUGCUCGGAAAACUCAGUCGAACCUUAUCAUUUAGAGGAAGGAGAAGUCGUAACA
This 324-nucleotide ribosomal RNA is filed under the name uncultured eukaryote. Its description in RNAcentral is "partial 18S ribosomal RNA". It matches the Rfam family "Eukaryotic small subunit ribosomal RNA", at positions 1470 to 1796 of the family's 1831-position model. The record is from RNAcentral.